This 299-nucleotide ribosomal RNA is filed under the name uncultured bacterium. RNAcentral's name for it is "partial 16S ribosomal RNA". It matches the Rfam family "Bacterial small subunit ribosomal RNA", at positions 28 to 325 of the family's 1533-position model. The record is from RNAcentral.
GAUGAACGCUAGCGGCAGGCUUAACACAUGCAAGUCGAGGGGCAGCAAGGGUAGCAAUACCUGUUGGCGACCGGCAAACGGGUGCGGAACACGUACAGAAUCUACCUUUAUCUGGGGAAUAGCCCGAAGAAAUUCGGAUUAACUACCCCAUAAUAUAUAUGAGUGGCAUCACUUGAAUAUUAAAACUCCGGUGGAUAGAGAUGACUGUGCGUCCCAUUAGCUAGNGGUAGGGUAAGGCCUACCAAGGCGACGAUGGGUAGCUGGUGUGAGAGCACGACCAGCCACACGGGCACUGAGAC